UCUAAUGAGAGCAAUUAGUUUGUGCCUGUUGCUAUGCAUCGUCUUGGUAUUUACUGUUACAAAUGAGCAACUCAUCUAUGACCAUACCCAAAGGGGGCAGAAAAGGUGAUGUACAAAGUGCAUAUAGCACCCUACACUAUUGAGUAAUUACAAGAGGUGUAUAUACAUCUAACACCCCUCCCCUCAAACUCACGGUGGGUCAACGACACUGAGUUUGGAAACAAAAAAGCUAUGUUGCACCCUAGUUUGAGCCUUUGUUAAGAAAUCAGCCAACUGAAACUCUGAGGGCACAUAGUAAAGAGCCACCACCUCAUCAUGUACUUGCGAUCGCAUUUAGGAAGCAUCAACAGGAUAACGAGCAAUAUUGAUCGCACCAGGGCUGUCAAAGGAUAGAGGAGUCGGUGAGGAAGUCAUCACACCGAAAUCCUCAAGUAGCCACUUGAGCCAUGUGACCUCAGCCGUCAUGGUCGCCAUAGCCCACAACUCAGCCUCACCACUGGACUGGGAAACUGCCGUCUGCUUCUUGGUUUUCCAGGCAAUCAAGGAGGACCCAAGAAAAACACAAUAAGCCAAAAGGGUACGACGAUCAGAGUGAUCACUAGCCCAUGUCGCAUCAGAGUACGCCUGAAGUUGAAGGGAACUAGAGCGAGGAAAGAACAAGCGGCAUGAGAUGGUGCCACGAAGGUAUCGAAGAACACAAGAAGGUGAGCGUAGUGGAACUGUGUGGGAGCAAAACGAACUAACUCAGGAUAUGAAUAUCAUGAGAAAUGUUAGGACGAGUAAUCUCAAGGUAACAAGGCUCCCAACAAGGUGACGAUAGCGAGUGUGAUCAUCAAGGGGAGCACCAUUAGUAGACCGCAAUGGGAGCGGCACGAGAGAGAAGAUCAUGAAUGUACUUCUCCUAGGAGAGGUAAAUGCAAUCAGGCAUGGAAGAGACCUCGAGAUCAAGGAAGUAACAAAGAGGAUUCAAAUCAAAUAUCAAGAAUUUGUCACUAAGAUGCUUCUUCACAAAGUCAAUGAAUUGAUAAUCGUCACUAGUAAUGAUCAUAUCAUUGACAUAGAGAAGCAUGCGACAACGAGGGGAAGUGUGGACAAAGAGAGCAGGGUUGUGGUCAUUGGGCUUAAAAUCAGCAUCAAUGACAGCAGUGGAGAAGCGCUCAAACCAGGCUUAAGGAGCCUGCUUGAGGCUGUAGAAAGAGCGACGCACCGGCAAACCAUUCCAUUCGGGAUAGUGUAUCCCAGAGAUGGAUGCAUGUAGACCUCUUCACGUAGCUCACCAUUGAGAAAUACAUUCUUGACAUCAAGCUGGGAGAUGGACCAUUGUUUGACAGAAGCAACGAGAGGAGUCCGGACUGUGGUCAUAUGAGCAACGAGAGCAAAGGUCUCAUCAUAAUCACGACCUUGCUCCUGCUGAAAACCACGAGCCACAUGACGAGCCUUGUAGCGCUCAAGGGAGCCAUCAGAGCGAGUCUUGAUCUUGUAUACCCAUUUGCAAGUAAUAGGAGUCAGCUGAGGAGGCAAAGGUACAAGGUCCCAUGUGCUGGUGUGCUCCACGGCAGCUAUCUCCUUAGCCAUGGUGCUCUGCCAAUUCGGGUGGACAGCAUCCUCUUCGUAAGUGGCUAGAUCAAGCGAUCCGAAGGAUGGAGAGUACUACGAUCACGAAGAGCAUAUCGAGAAGACGGCUCUGGAGGAAGUCCAAGGAGCGAUGAAGAAGACUCAAGUGGAGGGGGAGGCCUCGGACGACAAGUGUAGACGUGAGUGAUCUCACAAGGUGGUACCUCCACUGGUGUAGGCCUAAGGAGCGACGAAGAGGACUCAGUGAAGAGGGAGGCCUUGGAUGACGAGUGUAGACAUGAGUGAUCGAACAAGAGGACACCUGUGAGGCGGAGGUGAAGGAGCUAAGGAGCAGCGGUGGGUGAAGAUGAUGAGGUGGAGGUAGGUGGAGCUGAUGGUGGAAGAAUAGAGGAUAUAUAUGGCGAAGAUGAGGUAUGUAAGCGAGACAGCGGAAGAGACAAGAAAGAGAGACUCACCAGUAGUGGUAUUAGGGCCAGAGUGGGAGCGAUGAUAAGGACAAGACUCAUCGAAGGUGACAUCCUGAGAUAUCCUCAUCCGAUGGGCAACAGGGUCGUAGCAGCGAUAACCCUUGCGCUCCGUACUGUACCCAAGAAAAAACAUACUCAACUGACUGAGCAAUUAGCUUGGUGCGCUCAAGAGGAGGGAGAAGAACAAAGCAGGCACACCCAAAACAACGAAGAUGACUGUAGUUGGGUGGAUGGCCAAACAAGUGCUCAUACGGGGUACAACCCUAAAAAACCGAGGAAGGCUGUCUAUUGAUGAGAAAAACAGCAGACAGUCUCAACCCAAAAGUGAGGUGGAAGCUCAGAGCAAAGUAGUAAAGCACAAGAAGUCUCAAGAAUGUGACGAUGCUUGCGCUCGGCAGCACCAUUCUGAGCAUGGGCACCAGAACAAGAAAAUUGAGGAAGGGUACCCUGGUCAGCAAGGAAGCAACAAUGCGCAGUGGAAAUGUAUUCACUAGCAGAAUUGGCACAAAAAGCACGAAUGGGAGAAUCAAACUAAGUGCAAAUCAUAAUGGCAAAUUGCAGGUAGAUAGAUAUAAAGUGGCCACGUGAGGACAUAAGAUAGAUCCAGGUAAAGCAUGAAUAAUCAUCGAUAAAAUUGACAUAAUCGGAGUGAUUGCCUUUCGAGAAAAAAGGAACAGGCCCCCCAUAUAUCAAAGUGAAUGAGAUCAAAAGGAUAUUGCGAUACAGAAUCACUAGAUGUAUAAGGGAGUUGCAACUGUUUACCAAGUUUGCAACCCAUAGAGUGAAGUGCAGCAUCACCAGACACAUCACCAGACACAUGACUUAAAAGUUAAAACACCAUUGCCCACAAGAAUGAAAAGCCUUGAACCUGAGAGAUGGCCAAGGCGAUGACGCCAUUGAGAAAAGGUUGGUGAAGCAGUAACCACAAGGGCAGGUGAGCUGGAUGAGGGACUUGCCACAGUGAACGAGGGACGGCGAAGCUAGUCAAGCUCCCAAAGACGCUGAGAACCAUGACGCCUAGGCCUAGUUCCUAUUAAAAGCCCCAUGCAAGGAUCCUGAACACAACAAGAGUCCAACUCAAGAAUGAUGCGACAUCCAUAAUUAGUGAUCUGUCUAGCAGACAUCAGCUGCAUAGUGAGGUUAGGGACAUGCAAAACUGUAGGCACAUGAAAGGAAGACGUCGAGAGAACACCUCGUCCAGCAACUGAAAUAGAGGUGCCAUGAGCCGUCUGAACAACAAGAGGGUGAUCAACAGAGGACAAGGAAGAUAGCUGGGUAGAAUCUGCCUUGAUAAGGAGGCAGUGGUGGUGUACGGUGUACCAGAAGCACGAGCAGUAGUUCCAGAAAAGAAGGAAGUAGCAGCAUUGAGGCGAUGGAAUGGUGUGAGCAACGCCUGCUCUAAGGUAGAGCCACAUACAGUGGUAGAAGAGGCCAGGCUCUCUUCUUGACCCUCUCUCCUCUUUUUUCUUGGGCUGCCCCUUGGGAGGGAGGCAGAGGGCAGGCAGACAAGGAAAUGCAGAGCAGAGAGCGGAUCAGAGAAGAGAAGAGCAUACAUAGAGGCAAAGCACAUGCAAGAAUCAAUUAAUGCCAAAUGUGGGUAAUAAAUAGGGGCAAACAUGGUCAUUUUAUCUUCUUAAUUUGUCAUAGAAUUUCUAGGAUAAGUUGUUUUUUUUGCGACGGAGGAGCAGUAGUUCCAGAAAAGGAGGAAGUAGCGGCAUUGAGGCGACGAACAGCGUGAGCAACUCCUGCUCUAAGGCAAAGGCACAUAUAGUGGUAGAAGAGGCCAAGCUCUCUUCCUGACCUCUCUCCUCUCUCUCUCUCUCUCUCUCUCUCUCUCUCUCUUUUCUUUUAAAUUUUUUGCUUAGGCUGCCCCUCGGGAGGGAGGCAGAGGGUAGGGAGGGAGGCAGAGGUCAGGCAGACAAGGAAAUGCAAAGCGCAGAGAAGAGCACACACAGAGGCAAUGCAGAGCAGAGAGUGGAGUGGAGAAGAGGCAAUGCAGAGUAGAGCGGAGCGGAGCAGGACACGGUGGCCGCCGCCACUGGGGCUAGGCAUGGCGGCGCCGGGCCAGGCGUGGGAGGCGGAGGGCCGCGCGGGCGUGGGAGGGUGCAGGCUGCACAUGAGAAGGGAAGGGGGGAGGAAAAAGGAAGAGGGUGGAGCUGCCUUCGCCGGCCGGCGGUGCAGGCUCACCUUUGACUCGCCGGCGCCUCACCGGAGACGGUGGGAUUCUAAACCCUAGGCUGUGAUACCAAAGGGGUCAGAAAAGGCGAUGUACAAAGUGCAGAUAGCACCGUACACUAGUGAGUAAUAACAAGAGGUGUUUAUGCAUCUAACAUUUACACCAUGUGCUAAGUCAAUUAGUUUCUGCUUAAAUCUUGAGGUAAAAACACUUGCAAAACUAUAGCAUAACUGUUAUGGUAGGACAAGUGUAUGAAAGGUGCCGUCGUGGCUGAAGAGAAGACAGGGCACGCGCCCACUACGUCGUAGCAGUUUACUCUAUGUUUGAAUUUGUAUUUCCCAAGUCAGUUGUAAUCAAACCUAUAACUAUUGUAUCCAGUGGCUAAUGGAAGUUAUGCUAGAGAUCAAUUAGAUCUCUUGGCGUCCCGCACGUC
This is a long non-coding RNA of Panicum virgatum (switchgrass), 4651 nucleotides long. RefSeq lists it as uncharacterized. The record is from RefSeq and is a predicted model, not a curated record. NCBI's taxonomy places the organism in Eukaryota, Viridiplantae, Streptophyta, Magnoliopsida, Poales, Poaceae. The transcript has 2 exons.